GCCUGGUGUGUUGGCAUGCACCUGUAGUCCUAGCUGCUUGGGAGGCUGAGGCAGGAGGAUUGCUUGAGCUCAGGAGGUCAAGGCUGCAGUGAGCUAUGAUCAUGCCACUGCACUCCAGCCUGGGCAACAGAGCAAGAUCCUGUACCAA
This 148-nucleotide non-coding RNA is filed under the name Chlorocebus sabaeus (green monkey). The record is from Rfam by way of RNAcentral. Lineage: Eukaryota; Metazoa; Chordata; Mammalia; Primates; Cercopithecidae.